GACGAACGCUGGCGGCGUGCCUAAUACAUGCAAGUAGAACGCUGAAGGAGGAGCUUGCUCUUCUGGAUGAGUUGCGAACGGGUGAGUAACGCGUAGGUAACCUGCCUGGUAGCGGGGGAUAACUAUUGGAAACGAUAGCUAAUACCGCAUAAGAGUAGAUGUUGCAUGACAUUUGCUUAAAAGGUGCAAUUGCAUCACUACCAGAUGGACCUGCGUUGUAUUAGCUAGUUGGUGGGGUAACGGCUCACCAAGGCGACGAUACAUAGCCGACCUGGGAGGGUGAUCGGCCACACUGGGACUGAGACACGGCCCAGACUCCUACGGGAGGCAGCAGUAGGGAAUCUUCGGCAAUGGACGGAAGUCUGACCGAGCAACGCCGCGUGAGUGAAGAAGGUUUUCGGAUCGUAAAGCUCUGUUGUAAGAGAAGAACGAGUGUGAGAGUGGAAAGUUCACACUGUGACGGUAUCUUACCAGAAAGGGACGGCUAACUACGUG
RNAcentral lists this ribosomal RNA (495 nucleotides) under uncultured bacterium. RNAcentral's name for it is "partial 16S ribosomal RNA". It matches the Rfam family "Bacterial small subunit ribosomal RNA", at positions 28 to 507 of the family's 1533-position model. The record is from RNAcentral.